AGUGAACGCUGGCGGUAGGCCUAACACAUGCAAGUCGUACGGCAGCACAGUAAGAGCUUGCUCUUACGGGUGGCGAGUGGCGGACGGGUGAGGAAUACAUCGGAAUCUACUUUUUCGUGGGGGAUAACGUAGGGAAACUUACGCUAAUACCGCAUACGACCUACGGGUGAAAGCAGGGGAUCUUCGGACCUUGCGCGAUUGAAUGAGCCGAUGUCGGAUUAGCUAGUUGGCGGGGUAAAGGCCCACCAAGGCGACGAUCCGUAGCUGGUCUGAGAGGAUGAUCAGCCACACUGGAACUGAGACACGGUCCAGACUCCUACGGGAGGCAGCAGUGGGGAAUAUUGGACAAUGGGCGCAAGCCUGAUCCAGCCAUACCGCGUGGGUGAAGAAGGCCUUCGGGUUGUAAAGCCCUUUUGUUGGGAAAGAAAAGCAGCAGGUUAAUACCCCGCUGUCCUGACGGUACCCAAAGAAUAAGCACCGGCUAACUUCGUG
RNAcentral lists this ribosomal RNA (492 nucleotides) under uncultured bacterium. RNAcentral's name for it is "partial 16S ribosomal RNA". It matches the Rfam family "Bacterial small subunit ribosomal RNA", at positions 29 to 507 of the family's 1533-position model. The record is from RNAcentral.